RNAcentral lists this unclassified non-coding RNA (307 nucleotides) under Hyphomicrobium facile. RNAcentral describes it as "Long range pseudoknot". Lineage: Bacteria; Pseudomonadati; Pseudomonadota; Alphaproteobacteria; Hyphomicrobiales; Hyphomicrobiaceae. The record is from RNAcentral.
AUCGAUGAUCAUGACUACGACGUGAAGAUGCGGGCGAUUAAGCGGUUCUUCGAAGAGGGCGACAAGGUCAAGAUAACGCUGCGCUUCCGCGGCCGUGAAAUGGCGCACUCGCAACUUGGCAUGGCCGUCCUACAACGCGUGAAAGCCGACACCGAGUCCAUCUCCAAGGUCGAAAGCGAACCACGCUUCGAAGGCCGGCAGAUGGUCAUGGUGCUCGCCCCCAAAUGACGUCAAUGAAAUGACUGCGGCGGGGUGUUCGCCCCGCCCUUGUCUACCUCUGUCCGUUGGCCCUCGCGCCGAUUACGGC